Molecule: ribosomal RNA, 439 nt
Filed under: uncultured bacterium
Lineage: Bacteria
Description: partial 16S ribosomal RNA
Rfam family: Bacterial small subunit ribosomal RNA
Source: RNAcentral
CUACGGGCUGCAGCAGUGAGGAAUAUUGCACAAUGGGGGGAACCCUGAUGCAGCAACGCCGCGUGGAGGAUGACGCAUUUCGGUGUGUAAACUCCUUUUAUAUGUCAAGAAAAUGACGGUAGCAUAUGAAUAAGCACCGGCUAACUCCGUGCCAGCAGCCGCGGUAAUACGGAGGGUGCAAGCGUUACUCGGAAUCACUGGGCGUAAAGGACGCGUAGGCGGGAUAUCAAGUCAGGUGUGAAAUCCUACAGCUUAACUGUAGAACUGCACUUGAAACUGGUAACCUAGAGUAUGGGAGGGGGAGAUGGAAUUAGUGGUGUAGGGGUAAAAUCCGUAGAUAUCACUAGGAAUACCUAAAGCGAAGGCGAUCUCCUGGAACAUAACUGACGCUAAGGCGUGAAAGCGUGGGGAGCAAACAGGAUUAGAUACCCGGGUAGUC